RNAcentral lists this ribosomal RNA (254 nucleotides) under uncultured bacterium. RNAcentral's name for it is "partial 16S ribosomal RNA". It matches the Rfam family "Bacterial small subunit ribosomal RNA", at positions 524 to 776 of the family's 1533-position model. The record is from RNAcentral.
UACGAAGGGGGCUAGCGUUGCUCGGAAUCACUGGGCGUAAAGCGCACGUAGGCGGAUUGUUAAGUCAGGGGUGAAAUCCUGGAGCUCAACUCCAGAACUGCCUUUGAUACUGGCAAGCUUGGAGUCCGGGAGAGGUGAGUGGAACUGCGAGUGUAGAGGUGAAAUUCGUAGAUAUUCGCAAGAACACCAGUGGCGAAGGCGGCUCACUGGCCCGGUACUGACGCUGAGGUGCGAAAGCGUGGGGAGCAAACAGA